AAACAGCUAGUAUAAUUAAAACACCUAAUUUCGACUUAGUAACUCCGAGUUUGAAUCUCGGGCUGUUAU
RNAcentral lists this transfer RNA (69 nucleotides) under Tropidophorus hangnam. RNAcentral's name for it is "tRNA-Arg". It matches the Rfam family "tRNA". From Rfam's summary of the family: Transfer RNA (tRNA) molecules are approximately 80 nucleotides in length. Their secondary structure includes four short double-helical elements and three loops (D, anti-codon, and T loops). Lineage: Eukaryota; Metazoa; Chordata; Lepidosauria; Squamata; Scincidae. The record is from RNAcentral.